This 449-nucleotide ribosomal RNA is filed under the name uncultured bacterium. RNAcentral describes it as "bacterial SSU rRNA". It matches the Rfam family "Bacterial small subunit ribosomal RNA", at positions 355 to 825 of the family's 1533-position model. The record is from RNAcentral.
UAAGGAAUAUUGCGCAAUGGGGGAAACCCUGACGCAGCGACGCCGCGUGUGGGAUGAAGGUCUUCGGAUUGUAAACCACUGUCGCGAGGGACGAAGCUCUGACGGUACCUCGAAAGGAAGCACCGGCUAACUCUGUGCCAGCAGCCGCGGUAAUACAGAGGGUGCGAGCGUUGUCCGGAAUCACUGGGCGUAAAGGGCGCGUAGGCGGCCCGGUAAGUAGGGGGUGAAAUCUCAUGGCUCAACUGUGAGGCUGCCUUCUAGACUGCCAGGCUUGAGCACAGUAGAGGCGAGUGGAAUUCCCGGUGUAGCGGUGGAAUGCGUAGAGAUCGGGAAGAACAUCGGUGGCGAAGGCGGCUCGCUGGGCUGUUGCUGACGCUGAGGCGCGAAAGCGUGGGGAGCAAACAGGAUUAGAUACCCGCGUAGUCCCUGAGCGGGCUGGCAAGGCGCAU